UCCUACGGGAGGCAGCAGUGGGGAAUAUUGCACAAUGGGCGCAAGCCUGAUGCAGCCAUGCCGCGUGUGUGAAGAAGGCCUUCGGGUUGUAAAGCACUUUCAGUCGUGAGGAAGGUGGUGUAGUUAAUAGCUGCAUUAUUUGACGUUAGCGACAGAAGAAGCACCGGCUAACUCCGUGCCAGCAGCCGCGGUAAUACGGAGGGUGCGAGCGUUAAUCGGAAUUACUGGGCGUAAAGCGCAUGCAGGUGGUUUGUUAAGUCAGAUGUGAAAGCCCGGGGCUCAACCUCGGAAUAGCAUUUGAAACUGGCAGACUAGAGUACUGUAGAGGGGGGUAGAAUUUCAGGUGUAGCGGUGAAAUGCGUAGAGAUCUGAAGGAAUACCGGUGGCGAAGGCGGCCCCCUGGACAGAUACUGACACUCAGAUGCGAAAGCGUGGGGAGCAAACAGGGUUAGAUACCCUGGUAGUCCACGCCGUAAACGAUGUCUACUUGGAGGUUGUGGCCUUGAGCCGUGGCUUUCGGAGCUAACGCGUUAAAUAGACCGCCUGGGGAGUACGGUCGCAAGAUUAAAACUCAAAUGAAUUGACGG
Molecule: ribosomal RNA, 587 nt
Filed under: uncultured bacterium
Lineage: Bacteria
Description: bacterial SSU rRNA
Rfam family: Bacterial small subunit ribosomal RNA
Source: RNAcentral